RNAcentral lists this ribosomal RNA (321 nucleotides) under Escherichia coli. RNAcentral describes it as "bacterial SSU rRNA". It matches the Rfam family "Bacterial small subunit ribosomal RNA", at positions 1 to 318 of the family's 1533-position model. Lineage: Bacteria; Pseudomonadati; Pseudomonadota; Gammaproteobacteria; Enterobacterales; Enterobacteriaceae. The record is from RNAcentral.
AAAUUGAAGAGUUUGAUCAUGGCUCAGAUUGAACGCUGGCGGCAGGCCUAACACAUGCAAGUCGAACGGUAACAGGAAGCAGCUUGCUGCUUUGCUGACAAGUGGCGGACGGGUGAGUAAUGUCUGGGAAACUGCCUGAUGGAGGGGGAUAACUACUGGAAACGGUAGCUAAUACCGCAUAACGUCGCAAGACCAAAGAGGGGGACCUUCGGGCCUCUUGCCAUUGGAUGUGCCCAGAUGGGAUUAGCUAGUAGGUGGGGUAACGGCUCACCUAGGCGACGAUCCCUAGCUGGUCUGAGAGGAUGACCAGCCACACUGGAA